UUAAAUCAUCCAUUUAAAGAUGUCAAACAACCUCCGUGUUCUAAGGACACAGCAUGUACAACCUCACAUAGAGUUCCUGACCAGACAAGACUUGCUGGAAAUUUCCCAGGAUCUUCCUUCCUUAAGUUUGAAUAGCUCUCUGGUUCCAGUUUGAAGCUGAAAAGGUUAAAUUCUACCUGAAGGAUGAAAACAACCAACAUUCUGUGCCAAGACAGUCAGGAGGGCAACCAUGUUUCCUGGUGGAGCCUCUGGAACCACUCAAGCCAAGAUGACCGGGGGUUUGGCUGGGAGGAGAUGGGGAAACUACAGACCCUACAGAUGGUUUCCUGUACCAUGAGGUUAAGCCUGGGGGCAGGAGAGGCUGUACCUUAGUUCCUUCAUCUGUAAAAUAAAGUAACAUAGUACCU
RNAcentral lists this long non-coding RNA (407 nucleotides) under Homo sapiens (human). Its description in RNAcentral is "long intergenic non-protein coding RNA 472". The record is from RNAcentral. Lineage: Eukaryota; Metazoa; Chordata; Mammalia; Primates; Hominidae.